UACGUAGGGUGCAAGCGUUGUCCGGAAUUAUUGGGCGUAAAGAGCUUGUAGGCGUUUUGUCGCGUCUGCUGUGAAAUUUCGGGGCUCAACCCCGAACUUGCAGUGGGUACGGGCAGACUAGAGUGUGGUAGGGGAGACUGGAAUUCCCGGUGUAGCGGUGAAAUGCGCAGAUAUCGGGAGGAACACCGGUGGCGAAGGCGGUUCUCUGGGCCUUACCUGACGCUGAGGAGCGAAAGCGUGGGUAGCGAACAGG
This 253-nucleotide ribosomal RNA is filed under the name uncultured bacterium. RNAcentral's name for it is "partial 16S ribosomal RNA". It matches the Rfam family "Bacterial small subunit ribosomal RNA", at positions 524 to 776 of the family's 1533-position model. The record is from RNAcentral.